RNAcentral lists this ribosomal RNA (1336 nucleotides) under uncultured Campylobacterota bacterium. RNAcentral's name for it is "uncultured Epsilonproteobacteria bacterium 16S ribosomal RNA". It matches the Rfam family "Bacterial small subunit ribosomal RNA", at positions 28 to 1378 of the family's 1533-position model. Lineage: Bacteria; Pseudomonadati; Campylobacterota. The record is from RNAcentral.
AGUGAACGCUGGCGGCGUGCUUAACACAUGCAAGUCGAACGGACUGACGGAGGGCUUGCUCUUCUGAAGUUAGUGGCGCACGGGUGAGUAAUGUAUAGCUAACCUGCCUCUUGGAUGGGGACAACAGUUGGAAACGGCUGCUAAUACCCUAUACUCCGUUAGCCCAUAAGGGUUAACGGGAAAGUUUUUCGCCAAGGGAUGGGGCUGUAUCGUAUCAGCUAGUUGGUAAGGUAACGGCUUACCAAGGCUAUGACGCGUAGCUGGUCUGAGAGGAUGAUCAGCCACACUGGAACUGAGACACGGUCCAGACUCCUACGGGAGGCAGCAGUGGGGAAUAUUGCACAAUGGGGGAAACCCUGAUGCAGCAACGCCGCGUGGAGGAUGACGCAUUUCGGUGUGUAAACUCCUUUUAUUUGGGAAGAUAAUGACGGUACCAAAUGAAUAAGCACCGGCUAACUCCGUGCCAGCAGCCGCGGUAAUACGGAGGGUGCAAGCGUUACUCGGAAUCACUGGGCGUAAAGGGUGCGUAGGCGGGUUAUCAAGUCUUGAGUGAAAUCCAACAGCUUAACUGUUGAACUGCUUAGGAAACUGGUAGCCUAGAGUAAGGGAGAGGUAGAUGGAAUUGGUGGUGUAGGGGUAAAAUCCGUAGAUAUCACCAGGAAUACUCAUUGCGAAGGCGAUCUACUGGAACUUAACUGACGCUGAGGCACGAAAGCGUGGGGAGCAAACAGGAUUAGAUACCCUGGUAGUCCACGCCCUAAACGAUGAACACUAUUUGUUGCUUUGCUAGUCAAGGCAGUAAUGCACUUAGCAGAUUAAGUGUUCCGCCUGGGGAGUACGGUCGCAAGAUUAAAACUCAAAGGAAUAGACGGGGACCCGCACAAGCGGUGGAGCAUGUGGUUUAAUUCGAAGAUACACGAAGAACCUUACCUGGGCUUGAUAUCCUAAGAAUCUCAUAGAGAUAUGGGAGUGUCGGCUUGCCGAAACUUAGAGACAGGUGCUGCACGGCUGUCGUCAGCUCGUGUCGUGAGAUGUUGGGUUAAGUCCCGCAACGAGCGCAACCCUCGUGUUUAGUUGCUAACAGUUCGGCUGAGCACUCUAAACAGACUGCCUUCGUAAGGAGGAGGAAGGUGGGGACGACGUCAAGUCAUCAUGGCCCUUAUGCCCAGGGCUACACACGUGCUACAAUGGCGCGUACAGAGAGCAGCAAUAUCGCAAGAUGGAGCAAAUCUUUAAAACGCGUCCCAGUUCGGAUUGGAGUCUGCAACUCGACUCCAUGAAGCCGGAAUCGCUAGUAAUCGUGAAUCAGCUAUGUCACGGUGAAUACGUUCCCGGG